UUCGAUUAAGCCAUGCGAGUCGAGAGUCCUCGGGACUCGGCGUACCGCUCAGUAACACGUGGGUAACCUGCCCUAUGCUGGGGAAUAACCUCGGGAAACUGAGAACAAUGCCCCAUAGCCCACUACGCCUGGAACGGUGAGUGGGUCAAAGCCCCGGCGGCAUAGGAUGGGCCUGCGCCGUAUCAGGUUGUAGGGGGUGUAAAGUACCCUCUAGCCAUCAACGCGUACGGGUGUUGGGAGACAUUGCCCGGAGAUGGAUUCUGAGACACGAAUCCAGACCCUACGGGGUGCAGCAGGCGCGAAAACUUGGCAAUGCGAGAAAUCGUGACCAGGGAACUCCAAGUGCGUAGGGUAAGACCUACGCUUUUCUUGACUCUUCAAAGGUCUUGGAAUAAGGGGUGGGUAAGGACGGUGCCAGCCGCCGCGGUAAUACCGGCGCCUCAAGUGGUAGUCGCUUUUAUUGGGCCUAAAACGUCCGUAGCCGGUCUGGUGCAUUCGUGGGUAAAUCAACCCGCUCAACGGGUUGAAUUCUGCGAGCACGGCCAGACUUGGGACCGGGAGAGGUGUGGGGUACUCUCAGGGUAGGGGUAAAAUCCUAUCAUCCUGAGAGGACCACCUGUUGCGAAGGCGCCACACUAGAACGGAUCCGACGGUCAGGGACGAAACCUAGGGGCACGAACCGGAUUAGAUACCCGGGUAGUCCUAGGUGUAAACGCUGUGGACUUGAUGUUGGGGGCGCUCCGAGCGCUCUCAGUGUCGAAGCGAAGGUGAUAAGUCCACUGCCUGGGGAGUACGGUCGCAAGGCUGAAACUUAAAGGAAUUGGCGGGGGAGCACUGCAACCUGAGGAUUGUGCGGUUUAAUUGG
RNAcentral lists this ribosomal RNA (865 nucleotides) under uncultured archaeon. Its description in RNAcentral is "bacterial SSU rRNA". It matches the Rfam family "Archaeal small subunit ribosomal RNA", at positions 39 to 909 of the family's 1478-position model. The record is from RNAcentral.